GGGCUCGUAGUCGAUUGGUAAGACGUCACGUUGACAACGUGAAGACACGGAGUUCGAUUCUCCGCGGGCCCACCU
This 75-nucleotide transfer RNA is filed under the name Candidatus Micrarchaeum acidiphilum ARMAN-2. RNAcentral's name for it is "tRNA-Val". It matches the Rfam family "tRNA". Rfam says of the family: Transfer RNA (tRNA) molecules are approximately 80 nucleotides in length. Their secondary structure includes four short double-helical elements and three loops (D, anti-codon, and T loops). Lineage: Archaea; Nanobdellati; Microcaldota; Candidatus Micrarchaeia; Candidatus Micrarchaeales; Candidatus Micrarchaeaceae. The record is from RNAcentral.